This 1001-nucleotide ribosomal RNA is filed under the name uncultured organism. Its description in RNAcentral is "bacterial SSU rRNA". It matches the Rfam family "Bacterial small subunit ribosomal RNA", at positions 356 to 1376 of the family's 1533-position model. The record is from RNAcentral.
GGGGAAUAUUGCACAAUGGAGGAAACUCUGAUGCAGCGAUGCCGCGUGAGGGAAGAAGGUUUUAGGAUUGUAAACCUCUGUCUUCAGGGACGAAAAAAGGACGGUACCUGAGGAGGAAGCUCCGGCUAACUACGUGCCAGCAGCCGCGGUAAUACGUAGGGAGCGAGCGUUGUCCGGAAUUACUGGGUGUAAAGGGAGCGUAGGCGGGAUCGCAAGUCAGAUGUGAAAACUAUGGGCUUAACCCAUAAACUGCAUUUGAAACUGUGGUUCUUGAGUGAAGUAGAGGUAAGCGGAAUUCCUAGUGUAGCGGUGAAAUGCGUAGAGAUGGGGAGGAACACCAGUGGCGAAGGCGGCCUGCUGGGCUUUAACUGACGCUGAGGCACGAAAGCGUGGGUAGCAAACAGGAUUAGAUACCCUGGUAGUCCACGCUGUAAACGAUGAUUACUAGGUGUGGGGGGUCUGACCCCUUCCGUGCCGGAGUUAACACAAUAAGUAAUCCACCUGGGGAGUACGGCCGCAAGGUUGAAACUCAAAGGAAUUGACGGGGGCCCGCACAAGCAGUGGAGUAUGUGGUUUAAUUCGAAGCAACGCGAAGAACCUUACCAGGUCUUGACAUCCAACUAACGAAGUAGAGAUACAUUAGGUGCCCUUCGGGGAAAGUUGAGACAGGUGGUGCAUGGUUGUCGUCAGCUCGUGUCGUGAGAUGUUGGGUUAAGUCCCGCAACGAGCGCAACCCUUGCUAUUAGUUGCUACGCAAGAGCACUCUAAUAGGACUGCCGUUGACAAAACGGAGGAAGGUGGGGACGACGUCAAAUCAUCAUGCCCCUUAUGACCUGGGCUACACACGUACUACAAUGGAUGUUAACAGAGGGAAGCAAGACAGCGAUGUGGAGCAAACCCCUAAAAACAUUCUCAGUUCAGAUUGCAGGCUGCAACCCGCCUGCAUGAAGAUGGAAUUGCUAGUAAUCGCGGAUCAGCAUGCCGCGGUGAAUACGUUCCCG